Molecule: non-coding RNA, 476 nt
Organism: Paramuricea clavata
Lineage: Eukaryota; Metazoa; Cnidaria; Anthozoa; Malacalcyonacea; Plexauridae
Source: the annotation of a GenBank genome assembly
GACCUUAGGCCACAUAAAAAAAAUUACUUGUUUAGCGUCCACCCAUUUUAAUUUUUCUAGGUCGGGCGGACGGAUUUUUUUUUUUUUUUCGUAAAAUGCAACACAAAAUUCUGCUAAAUGCAGGAAAUCCAGUAUAUUACCACAGUCAAAACUCACUUUAAUUCUUUCAAAAUCCGUUCAUGUUUUUUAACUUCCCGUUCAUGUUUUUAAUAAAACAGAAAAUUACCGUUUGGCGGUCACGCGCGAACAAUUUAGCUGCGAACAGGCAUAUUCUGGGAAGGAAACUUUGUGUAAACGUAUUACAUAGCUCCCAGAAGAAUAAAAUCACCAUUUUUUCAAGUAAAACGGUCUUUUUAUAGAGAGUUUUUCCACUAAACUCGGACAAAUUAAAAAAAAAUAAAAAAAAAAAAAUUGGAGGUCGGGGACUUUUAUCAGCUCGGGCGGGGACGCUAAACAAGUAAUUUUUUUUAUGUGGC